This 507-nucleotide ribosomal RNA is filed under the name uncultured bacterium. RNAcentral describes it as "bacterial SSU rRNA". It matches the Rfam family "Bacterial small subunit ribosomal RNA", at positions 9 to 526 of the family's 1533-position model. The record is from RNAcentral.
GGCGAGUUUGAUCAUGGCUCAGGACGAACGCUGGCGGCGUGCUUUACACAUGCAAGUCGAACGGUGAACCGGUGCUUGCACCGGGGAUCAGUGGCGAACGGGUGAGUAACACGUGAGCAAUCUGCCCCUAACUCUGGGAUAACUGCGGGAAACCGCAGCUAAUACCGGAUACGACCCAGGGAGGCAUCUUCACUGGGUGGAAAGUUUUUCGGUUAGGGAUGAGCUCGCGGCCUAUCAGCUUGUUGGUGGGGUAAUGGCCUACCAAGGCGACGACGGGUAGCCGGCCUGAGAGGGCGACCGGCCACACUGGGACUGAGACACGGCCCAGACUCCUACGGGAGGCAGCAGUGGGGAAUAUUGCACAAUGGGCGAAAGCCUGAUGCAGCGACGCCGCGUGAGGGACGAAGGCCUUCGGGUUGUAAACCUCUUUCAGCAGGGAAGAAGCGAAAGUGACGGUACCUGCAGAAGAAGCACCGGCUAACUACGUGCCAGCAGCCGCGGUAAUAA